CCCUAGCCCAGAUGGGAACGGCAUCCUCUUGUCCCAGGGUUCGGGACAAGAGAUAUAGUGGACAGCUGGAUUGAGC
This 76-nucleotide small RNA is filed under the name Flavobacterium aquicola. Its description in RNAcentral is "Flavo-1 RNA". It matches the Rfam family "Flavo-1 RNA". Lineage: Bacteria; Pseudomonadati; Bacteroidota; Flavobacteriia; Flavobacteriales; Flavobacteriaceae. The record is from RNAcentral.